RNAcentral lists this long non-coding RNA (1875 nucleotides) under Homo sapiens (human). RNAcentral's name for it is "HSALNT0287883". The record is from RNAcentral. Lineage: Eukaryota; Metazoa; Chordata; Mammalia; Primates; Hominidae.
CAUGAAUAAAAGUCAAGCCCUUUCUUUGCUCAUUGCUCAGCCUCUGGGUAUUAAUCUGCUGAGCUGGUGGCCACCUAAAUACAAUCGUCCUGUUCCCCUCAUUGGUCUCUCCGGUCUCCUGAUUCCAGCCACAUUUUGGUGAGCCAGCCAGGAGUGAAGACGACAGGUUUGCUGUCUCCUUUGCCUGUGGGUCUGGGGCCCCAGCCUGGGGGAGACCCGUGACUCCAGGCAUGCUAUCAGGACAACUUCAACCCGAGGGGAGAUCAGCUCUCCCGCAACCUGGUGCCGCUCUCUGACAGCACAACAGAACCUAAGGGGCUACAGGAUGAUUCAAGGAACAGUGUGCUACAGGACCUCGCAAGAAGACCCUCACCAGAUGCAGCCCCUCUAUGUUGGACUUCCCAGCCUCCGGAAGUUAGAAAUGUGCUACAACCACUCAAGGUCUGCAAACAGAUUCCUAUUUAGAUGUUGUUGAGAGCUGAAUUUCUGGAACAAGAGAUAUAGAUUAAGACUGUUGUUACAUGUUGCCUACAUGACUUUCAAAAGCUUGAUUCCCAGUGGCGCUCUCAACAGCAGUCAUAAACAAUGAUGGGGUCUCGCUCUGUCCUGGAGUGCAAUGGCACGAUCUUGGCUCACUGCAACCUCCGCCUCCCAGGUUCAAGCAAUUCUCCUGCCUCAGCCUCCCGAGUAGCUGGGACUACAGGCACACGCCAACACGCCAGGCUAAUUUUUUGUAUUUUUAAUAGAGAUGGAGUUUCACCAUGUUCCCCAGGCUGGUCUUGAACUCCUGAGCUCAGGCAAUCCACCUUCCUCUGCCUCCCAAAGUGCUAGGAUUACAGGCGUGAGCCACCGCGCCCGGUCUAUUUAUUUUCUUAACAGGGUAUUUUGCUAAGAAGUUUUACAUUUUGGUGAAGUCUAGUUUUUCCAUUUUUUUAUUAUGCUUAUUAUUUCUUAUGACUUCAGAUUUCCUUCCCUUCACUUAAUUAAUGGAGGUAUUGUAGUAUGAUUUCUUUUACCUUGUAUUUUGAAAUUUUACCUUUUACUCUGUGGUCCAUCUUGAAUUAUCUUUUAUGUAUGAUGUGAGGAUGUGAGAUUACUUUUCUUCAUAUGAAAAUGCAAUUUUUCCACCUUCCAUUCUUGAAGAAAUUAACUUUCCCCAUUUGACUGUUUUGGUGUAUUGGACAGUAAGUUUAAAAAUAUGUUUUAAAAAGUAUUUGCCAUGUUUAAAAAAUGUUUAGAAAGAAAGGCCACAUUCUUGUCUUUUUCCUUAUCUUAGAGGAAAAGGCUUCAACUUUUCACAUUGAGUAUGAUGUUAGCUGUUGGAUUGUCAUACAUGGAUUUUCUUGUUGGUGAACUUUUCUUCUAUACCUAAUUUGUAAUUGAUAAUAAUAAUAUAUUGUUUAUAUCAAAACAGCUAAAAAAGGGAUUUUAAAUGCUCUCACCACAAAGAAAUGAUAGUAUUUGGGUGGGAUAAAUAUGUUAAUUGACCAUAUUUGAUUAUUCCACAAUGUACAUGUAACAAAACACCACAUUGUACCCCAUAAAUAUAUAAAAUUAUUAUUUGCAAUUAGAAAUAAAAUAUAACUUAAAAAAGAAAAUCCAUAACUCCUUUCUAUAAUUUAUGAAUGUAUGUCAAAAGUCUUAAAUUUGGUUUUAAAUAUCUUGCUGUAACUGAUCUUUACUGUCUAUUUACAGGUCACUAGACAUCCUGCUCCAGGUGUAAUUAUGCUAUUAACACAAACAACAGCUGGCUCACAUGUACUAAGCUCACAUGUACUAAGCUCACUUGUACUAGCAGCUCAUUGAGCCCACAUGUACUAAGCAGCGUGAUAAGUACUUGUAUAUGCAGUAUGUCAUAUACAGGCAAUAAUUUUA